RNAcentral lists this ribosomal RNA (253 nucleotides) under uncultured bacterium. RNAcentral's name for it is "partial 16S ribosomal RNA". It matches the Rfam family "Bacterial small subunit ribosomal RNA", at positions 524 to 776 of the family's 1533-position model. The record is from RNAcentral.
UACAUGUGGGGCAAGCGUUGUUCGGAAUUACUGGGCAUAAAGGGUGCGUAGGCGGUUUGUUAAGUCACUGGUGAAAGUUUUCGGCCCAACCGGAAAAUUGCCUGUGAUACUGGCGAACUUGAGUGCGUGAGGGGUGGGGGGAACGAGCAGUGUAGCGGUGAAAUGCGUAGAUAUGCGGAGGAACACCGAUGGCGAAGGCAAUCCCCUGGGCCUGCACUGACGCUCAUGCACGAAAGCGUGGGGAGCAAACAGG